GUCGUCUUCCCGGGUCCGACAUCUUAUCCGUAUCUGGUUGUUUUAUCGACUGUUUUCUCCAAAUCCUCUUCGCCUUUAACUCCAUUUUUAACAUUAUCAGGAAUGUUUAUCCGACGUUUUUGCACUUUGGCGCUGACUUUUGUUUUCCGCCAUUCGUUCCAGCUCGGAAUUUGGAACGUUAUUCUGCCCCCAUGGCUGGAUAGGUCCUUUAUCCAAUUACCGUAUCUUUAUCUAUUGUACUUUGGGUUAUUGUCGUCUCCGUUAUUCUUAUCUGUGUCGACUGGGUAUGCGCUGACGUCAUCUAAAUAUCUACUGUAUUAACUAACCGUCUGUUUUCUAAUUAUUACGCGUAUUUGGCUGACAGAAUUUUAAUACGGAUUAAAGUUAACGUAUUAUCAGAAUUUAUGCGAUACAGGUGUAUAAAGUAGAAAGAAAUAUGAUAGGUGGUAUUUACGUCGUAUGCAUUUAACGUGUACUUUGAU
Molecule: long non-coding RNA, 482 nt
Filed under: Androctonus crassicauda
Lineage: Eukaryota; Metazoa; Arthropoda; Arachnida; Scorpiones; Buthidae
Source: RNAcentral